AGCCUUGACGGCCGUACUCCCCAGGUGGCAGACUUAUUGUCUUCACUGCGGCACUGGAUAGGCCCGAAGCCUAUCCAACACCUAGUCUGCAUCGUUUACAGCUGGGACUACCCGGGUAUCUAAUCCGGUUCGCUCCCCCAGCUUUCGUCCCUCACCGUCGGGCGCGUACUAGCCGAGCGCCUUCGCCACUGGUGGUCCUUCCGGGAUUAUAGGAUUUCGCCCCUACCCCGGAAGUACCCUCGGCCUCUUCCGCCCCCAAGCCUAUCAGUAUCUUCGGCGAUCCCACGGUUGAGCCGUGGGUUUUAGCCGGAGACUUAGUAAGCCGGCUACGGACGCUUUAGACCCAAUAAACGUCCCGACCACUCGCGGAGC
Molecule: ribosomal RNA, 372 nt
Filed under: uncultured archaeon
Lineage: Archaea
Description: partial 16S ribosomal RNA
Source: RNAcentral